GGCGAGAUGGUCGAGCGGUCUAAGACGCAAGUUUAAGGAAUCCCUUAUAACUACUUGUCCUCCGGGGCGUGGGUUCGAAUCCCACUCUCGUCA
Non-coding RNA from Acaromyces ingoldii, 93 nucleotides. The record is from the annotation of a RefSeq genome assembly. Lineage: Eukaryota; Fungi; Basidiomycota; Exobasidiomycetes; Exobasidiales; Cryptobasidiaceae.